GGAGCUAACGCGUUAAGUCGACCGCCUGGGGAGUACGGCCGCAAGGUUAAAACUCAAAUGAAUUGACGGGGGCCCGCACAAGCGGUGGAGCAUGUGGUUUAAUUCGAUGCAACGCGAAGAACCUUACCUACUCUUGACAUCCAGCGAACUUUCCAGAGAUGGAUUGGUGCCUUCGGGAACGCUGAGACAGGUGCUGCAUGGCUGUCGUCAGCUCGUGUUGUGAAAUGUUGGGUUAAGUCCCGCAACGAGCGCAACCCUUAUCCUUUGUUGCCAGCGAUUCGGUCGGGAACUCAAAGGAGACUGCCGGUGAUAAACCGGAGGAAGGUGGGGAUGACGUCAAGUCAUCAUGGCCCUUACGAGUAGGGCUACACACGUGCUACAAUGGCGCAUACAAAGAGAAGCGACCUCGCGAGAGCAAGCGGACCUCAUAAAGUGCGUCGUAGUCCGGAUCGGAGUCUGCAACUCGACUCCGUGAAGUCGGAAUCGCUAGUAAUCGUGGAUCAGAAUGCCACGGUGAAUACGUUCCCGGGCCUUGUACACACCGCCCGUCACACCAUGGGAGUGGGUUGCAAAAGAAGUAGGUAGCUUAACCUCUCGGGAGGGCGCUU
RNAcentral lists this ribosomal RNA (608 nucleotides) under Pantoea sp. RNAcentral's name for it is "bacterial SSU rRNA". It matches the Rfam family "Bacterial small subunit ribosomal RNA", at positions 848 to 1455 of the family's 1533-position model. The record is from RNAcentral. Lineage: Bacteria; Pseudomonadati; Pseudomonadota; Gammaproteobacteria; Enterobacterales; Erwiniaceae.